Long non-coding RNA from Catharus ustulatus (Swainson's thrush), 1880 nucleotides. RefSeq lists it as uncharacterized. Lineage: Eukaryota; Metazoa; Chordata; Aves; Passeriformes; Turdidae. The record is from RefSeq and is a predicted model, not a curated record. The transcript is spliced from 3 exons.
UAAAACAGGUUUUGGAAGACUGUUUUGAAGACACAACUGCAUUAUGAUACAAAGCUGCAGAGAACCUAGAAAAUAAUUUAUCAGCAUUAGAAAGUCAACACUUGACUUUGAACAGUUCAUUUUUCUACAGGAUGUUUUAGAAAAGCUAGUAAGUUAGAAAAAAAAAUGACAUCAAGGCAGGAGGUCACUUCUUGGUAAAAUAGAUUUUCAAAAAUUUGUUAGAAAUUGAUUUAGAAACUGCUAGGUUUCCAUUAGAAACAGAGCAAAGUAGUGUCAAGGCUUGGUUUACAAGUAAGAAAAAUCUGAGUUGAGGUUUUAAAAAUAUCUGCCAGAACCUUACGUGAAUUUUACAGCAGUUUUAUAAAGUUAGCAUAAAUUAUAAUAUACAGCAUAAAAAUACAUGCAAUACAUUUGAAAUAGAAUGCCACCCAUCUUUCUUUUACUGGGCAAUUCCAACAAACUCCCUAAAAAGUGGGUCUGCAUUCAUUAAAUUUGGAUCUCUACAAUACUGGGUCAGCAAGCAUCACAAAUUCAUCUGGAUCAAAAGGCAUGUGCCAACCCCCAGCCUAUGCCAAACGGAAUCACACUGUUGAGAAUUCCCCGUACCUGUUGUUUUCACACCAGCUAUGAUGUGACAAACGACCCAGUGCAGCAGAUCACAGCUCUCCUGCCUCACAGUCUUGAUCCCCUCUACAGUCUGCUCUACAAUUUUUCUGUCGAUAUUUCUGGAAUAAAUGUGAACUAGCAAAGGCAGUUUAUACUUGAUCUGUACUUUCUGGUGCAAAGCUGCAAUUUUUAUGAUGGUGCUGUCCAAAACCCAGGUUCAAGGUAUUAUUCAGCUGCAGUCUCCUCCAUACCACUAAUGAAGAAGGCAGCUGAAGGAGAAGCAGCUCAUUAUCUUUUAUCAGUUCAGAGUAAAAGGCAGAUACUGAACCUGUGUCCUGGAGAGUUAAUUUUCUUUCCAAUAGCCAGUACAGUGUGAUGUUUUGAAUUCAGUAUGAGGCUGAUGUUGAUAACAUCCAGAUGGCUCAGUUGUUGCUCUGCAGUGCUUGCUCUGAGGCAGGGGCUUUUCAGGUUCCCAUGCUCUGCCAGUGAGGAGCUGCACAAGGACUUGGGUGGGAGCAUGACCAGGACAGCUGACUCAAACUGGCCAAAGGGAUAUUCUGGGCCACAGAAUAUCAUGUGCAGUAUUGAAACUGGGGGGUCAUUGGACAGGAGAGACUGAUUGCUGCUGAGGGAGAAGCAGCAAGCUGGUGAUCAGUUGUAUCGUGCAUCACUUGUUUCCCUAAGAGUAAUUAAACCUAACUCCUUCUCAUUACAAUUAUUAUGAUGCUAUUACAAUAUUUUAUUUUGCUUCAAUUAUUAAACUGUUCUUAUCUUAAGCCAUAGGUUUACUUUCUUCCUGGUUCUCCGCCACAGCUGACCUCACUCAGAUACCCUGGCUCCUUCUCAGCCUGCACAGGUAAUCCUCAGGGGCGAGGGGGAAGCCUGGCCACCUACCAAGAUCUUGCAGGCAGUUCUGGCCCCACUGCUCAGAUGCUGUUUGUUCACCCUUGCUAACAUCUGGGACACUAAAAACUACCAUUCAGUGGUCUGAAGCAAACGGCAACCUCAGGAAUUGUAAGCCUAGUGCAGUAACUGGAAAACUGGAAUUUCAGAACAGUAACUGACACCAGAAGAACAAGAGGAAGAUGUUGCUCCCCCGUUAAGUUCUAACUACAACAACCCUCAUGUUGGAAUCCUCAGUGUCUUGCAAAAGAGAGCUUAAGUUUCUUAAUGCAAAUUCUGGACAACAAAAGCAGCUCCUUUUCAUCUGCUCAUCAUACUAAAGUAUUUUCUAAUACUAGAAAGUUAGGCUAGUACUUUUUCCAUGCUGUCAC